CAAGUACGACAUGAUGACGGCGAAGGGACGGAUUUAAGGUGCGUAACGCACAGGAGAGCGUCACCACGGAUGAGGUUUCAUCCCCGUGGGUGCCAGCCAGUAUCAGGCCGCUUUCGCGAUUGACGGCAGGCGCCGGAAACCAGAUUAGCGGCGCGCCUAGUA
This 162-nucleotide small RNA is filed under the name Salmonella enterica subsp. enterica serovar Typhi. RNAcentral's name for it is "StyR-252". Lineage: Bacteria; Pseudomonadati; Pseudomonadota; Gammaproteobacteria; Enterobacterales; Enterobacteriaceae. The record is from RNAcentral.